This 457-nucleotide ribosomal RNA is filed under the name uncultured bacterium. RNAcentral's name for it is "SSU rRNA". It matches the Rfam family "Bacterial small subunit ribosomal RNA", at positions 26 to 518 of the family's 1533-position model. The record is from RNAcentral.
AGGAUGAACGCUGGCGGCGUGCCUAAUACAUGCAAGUCGAGCGGUAAGGCCACUUCGGUGGUACACGAGCGGCGGACGGCUGAGUAACACGUAGGAACGUACCCCAAAGUGAGGCAUAAGCACCAGAAAUGGUGUCUAAUACCGCAUGUGGCCUAACAGGCUAAAGCUCCGGCGCUUUGGGAACGGCCUGCGCAUGAUUAGCUUGUUGGUGAGGUAAAAGCUCACCAAGGCAGUGAUCAUUAGCUGGUCUGAGAGGAUGACCAGCCAGACUGGGACUGAGAACGGCCCAGACUCCUACGGGAGGCAGCAGUAGGGAAUUUUCCACAAUGGGCGAAAGCCUGAUGGAGCAACGCCGCGUGCAGGAUGAAGGCUCUCGGGUCGUAAACUGCUUUUAUAUGUGAAGAUUAUGACGGUAGCAUAUGAAUAAGGAUCGGCUAACGUCCGCGCCAGCAGCCGC